GUAGGGAAACCUAUUCUUUAUAAAGAAAGAGAAUUUAUACCAAAGGUUUUUUAACAAUCUAAUUUAGCUGACUUAUAGAAUAUUUGAUUAGAAAAUGUCAAUGUAGUUUUAGGUUAACAUAAUUUGGAGUUUGGUCAUGAGUGAUGAGCACAACUUAAGUCUAGUCUAAACUAGUGAUUCAGUAUUGCCAACCCGGUCCAACCUAAAUAUAAUUUGUAUAUUUGUAUGUAUGUGCAAUUGAGAGGGAGAG
RNAcentral lists this long non-coding RNA (250 nucleotides) under Elaeis guineensis (African oil palm). Its description in RNAcentral is "long non-coding RNA (EGUI_LNC021133)". The record is from RNAcentral. Lineage: Eukaryota; Viridiplantae; Streptophyta; Magnoliopsida; Arecales; Arecaceae.